GACACCUACGGGGGGCAGCAGUGGGGAAUAUUGCACAAUGGGGGAAACCCUGAUGCAGCGACGCCGCGUGAGCGAAGAAGUAUUUCGGUAUGUAAAGCUCUAUCAGCAGGGAAGAAAAAUGACGGUACCUGAGUAAGAAGCACCGGCUAAAUACGUGCCAGCAGCCGCGGUAUUACGUAUGGUGCAAGCGUUAUCCGGAUUUACUGGGUGUAAAGGGAGCGCAGGCGGUGCGGCAAGUCUGAUGUGAAAGCCCGGGGCUCAACCCCGGGACUGCAUUGGAAACUACCGAACUGUAGGGUAGGAGG
This 305-nucleotide ribosomal RNA is filed under the name uncultured bacterium. Its description in RNAcentral is "bacterial SSU rRNA". It matches the Rfam family "Bacterial small subunit ribosomal RNA", at positions 334 to 655 of the family's 1533-position model. The record is from RNAcentral.